GAUGAACGCUAGCUACAGGCUUAACACAUGCAAGUCGAGGGGCAGCAUUUCAGUUUGCUUGCAAACUGGAGAUGGCGACCGGCGCACGGGUGAGUAACACGUAUCCAACCUGCCGAUAACUCGGGGAUAGCCUUUCGAAAGAAAGAUUAAUACCCGAUGGUAUAAUUAGACCGCAUGGUCUUGUUAUUAAAGAAUUUCGGUUAUCGAUGGGGAUGCGUUCCAUUAGGCAGUUGGUGAGGUAACGGCUCACCAAACCUUCGAUGGAUAGGGGUUCUGAGAGGAAGGUCCCCCACAUUGGAACUGAGACACGGUCCAAACUCCCACGGGAGGCAGCAGUGAGGAAUAUUGGUCAAUGGGCGCAGGCCUGAACCAGCCAAGUAGCGUGAAGGAUGACUGCCCUAUGGGUUGUAAACUUCUUUUAUAUGGGAAUAAAGUUUUCCACGUGUGGAAUUUUGUAUGUACCAUAUGAAUAAGGAUCGGCUAACUCCGUGCCAGCAGCCGCGGUAAUACGGAGGAUCCGAGCGUUAUCCGGAUUUAUUGGGUUUAAAGGGAGCGUAGGUGGACAGUUAAGUCAGUUGUGAAAGUUUGCGGCUCAACCGUAAAAUUGCAGUUGAUACUGGCUGUCUUGAGUACAGUAGAGGUGGGCGGAAUUCGUGGUGUAGCGGUGAAAUGCUUAGAUAUCACGAAGAACUCCGAUUGCGAAGGCAGCUCACUGGACUGCAACUGACACUGAUGCUCGAAAGUGUGGGUAUCAAACAGGAUUAGAUACCCUGGUAGUCCACACAGUAAACGAUGAAUACUCGCUGUUUGCGAUAUACAGUAAGCGGCCAAGCGAAAGCAUUAAGUAUUCCACCUGGGGAGUACGCCGGCAACGGUGAGACUCAAAGGAAUUGACGGGGGCCCGCACAAGCGGAGGAACAUGUGGUUUAAUUCGAUGAUACGCGAGGAACCUUACCCGGGCUUAAAUUGCAUUUGAAUAUAUUGGAAACAGUAUAGCCGUAAGGCAAGUGUGAAGGUGCUGCAUGGUUGUCGUCAGCUCGUGCCGUGAGGUGUCGGCUUAAGUGCCAUAACGAGCGCAACCCUUAUCUUUAGUUACUAACAGGUCAUGCUGAGGACUCUAGAGAGACUGCCGUCGUAAGAUGUGAGGAAGGUGGGGAUGACGUCAAAUCAGCACGGCCCUUACGUCCGGGGCUACACACGUGUUACAAUGGGGGGUACAGAAGGCAGCUACCUGGUGACAGGAUGCUAAUCCCAAAAGCCUCUCUCAGUUCGGAUCGAAGUCUGCAACCCGACUUCGUGAAGCUGGAUUCGCUAGUAAUCGCGCAUCAGCCAUGGCGCGGUGAAUACGUUCCCGGGCCU
RNAcentral lists this ribosomal RNA (1359 nucleotides) under uncultured bacterium. RNAcentral describes it as "bacterial SSU rRNA". It matches the Rfam family "Bacterial small subunit ribosomal RNA", at positions 28 to 1381 of the family's 1533-position model. The record is from RNAcentral.